UAGCCUAGUGGUUAAGGCUACGGAUCGCCAAUCCAGAGACGGCGGGUUCGAUUCCCGU
Non-coding RNA from Aedes albopictus (Asian tiger mosquito), 58 nucleotides. The record is from Rfam. Lineage: Eukaryota; Metazoa; Arthropoda; Insecta; Diptera; Culicidae.